AUAUGAAGUCGUACCUGCCCAGUGAAUUUUAAACGGCCGCAGUACCCUGACUGUGCAAAGGUAGCAUAAUAAUUUGCCUUAUAAUUGAAGGCUAGAAUGAAUGGUUUGACAUGGGCAAGUCUGUCUCCUUAGAAUUCCGUAGAAUUUUAUCUAUAAGUGAAAAAGCUUAUAUACCAUUAAAAGACAAGAAGACCCUAUCGAGCUUGAAACAAAUUAGUAUGCAUACGUAUAUUAUUAAACUAGAUUUAAAAUACUAAAUUAUUUUAGUUGGGGCAACUAGGGAGCACAAAAAACCUCCUUUUCCUUCUACACCUUUAGUUACGAUCCAGGACCCCUGAAUAAAGAAUUAGUUACCGUAGGGAUAACAGCAUUAUUUUUUUUAAGAGCUCGAAUCGAAAAAAAAGUUUGUGACCUCGAUGUUGGACCAGAAUACCCCAAAGAUGCAGAAGUCUUUAAAGGUUGGUCUGUUCGACCAUUAAAAUUCUA
Molecule: ribosomal RNA, 486 nt
Filed under: Hemilienardia calcicincta
Lineage: Eukaryota; Metazoa; Mollusca; Gastropoda; Neogastropoda; Raphitomidae
Description: partial 16S ribosomal RNA
Rfam family: Bacterial large subunit ribosomal RNA
Source: RNAcentral